Molecule: ribosomal RNA, 274 nt
Filed under: uncultured bacterium
Lineage: Bacteria
Description: partial 16S ribosomal RNA
Rfam family: Bacterial small subunit ribosomal RNA
Source: RNAcentral
AUACGGAGGAUGCAAGCGUUAUCCGGAUUUAUUGGGUUUAACGGGUUCGUAGGCGGAAAAUUAAGUCAGUGGUGAAAGCCUGCAGCUCAACUGCAGAACUGCCAUUGAUACUGAUUUUCUUGAAUUUAUAUGAAGUGGGCGGAAUGCGUCAUGUAGCGGUGAAAUGCACAGAUAUGACGCAGAACACCAAUUGCGAAGGCAGCUCACUAAUGUAAUAUUGACGCUGAGGAACGAAAGCAUGGGGAGCGAACAGAAUUAGAAACCCCAGUAGUCC